AAUCAACGCUGGCGGCGUGCCUAACACAUGCAAGUCGAACGCGAAAGCCCCGCAAGGGGUAAGUAGAGUGGCCAACGGGUGAGUAACACGUGGGUGACCUGCCUUCGAGUGGGGGAUAACGUCCCGAAAGGGACGCUAAUACCGCAUGGCAUCCUGCUUUUGAAAAAGCGGAGAUCAAAGCUGGGGAUCGCAAGACCUAGCGCUUGAAGAGGGGCCCGCGCCUGAUUAGCUAGUUGGUGAGGUAACGGCUCACCAAGGCGACGAUCAGUAUCCGGCCUGAGAGGGCGGACGGACACACUGGGACUGAGACACGGCCCAGACUCCUACGGGAGGCAGCAGUGGGGAAUUGUUCGCAAUGGGCGCAAGCCUGACGACGCAACGCCGCGUGGAGGACGAAGAUCUUCGGGUCGUAAACUCCUGUCGAGCGGGACGAACGCUUCGCGGAUGAAUAAUCCGCGGAAUUGACGGUACCGCUAAAGGAAGCCCCGGCUAACUCCGUG
Molecule: ribosomal RNA, 500 nt
Filed under: uncultured bacterium
Lineage: Bacteria
Description: partial 16S ribosomal RNA
Rfam family: Bacterial small subunit ribosomal RNA
Source: RNAcentral